CCGACCUUAGCUUAACUUGAUAGAGCGUCGGACUGUAGAUCCGAAGGUUGCGGGUUCGAAUCCCGCAGGUCAGA
Erigeron canadensis is the source of this 74-nucleotide non-coding RNA. The record is from the annotation of a RefSeq genome assembly. Lineage: Eukaryota; Viridiplantae; Streptophyta; Magnoliopsida; Asterales; Asteraceae.